UCCCAACUUCCCCACUAUUUUAUUUUUAAUUUUCUUUCAGAUCGCUUAAUUUUCUUCCAAACCCAAAAUUCCCCCAUUUUCCCUCGUUUUCAUUCCUCAACUUUUCAAUUCAAAUUUUUGUAUCUAAUCCAGCAAAACCCGAAUCUCAAAUCCAAUGUCCGCGUCGACCGUUUCAAUAACGGCGAACCCGGCGACGACCCGGCGGCGACCCGUCGUGGCUUUCGAUAAGAAGUCCUCCAACAUUGAACUUGUCUCCGCCGAACCCCAAACCCACAAAGCCGACGACACCGCUACCAAUUCUAAAGAUCUGAGCCACUACUCCAUCAGAGGCGAACCGGCUCUUGACCGGUCCGCUCAACCCAAGAAAACCGGCCCCAAUUCCACCAUUUCGCCGCCGUCCAGUCGCCGCUCUCGCAAAACCCUAGCCGCUGAUCCCAAGCCUCGAUGGGUCACCGUCCUCCGAGUCUUCUUCAAGAACUUCAUUCUUCUUGUUCUGAUUCUCGGUUUGUUUCAGAUUGUCAGGAGACUCGCUCUGGGGUCUGGGGUUGGGGUUCCCAUGGCGUUUUCGGACUUGGAAGGCCGAAUAGUGGAGGUCGAAGCGUUUAUGAAGACCACUACGAAGAUGGUUCAGGUUCAGGUGGAGGUUGUGGACCGGAAGAUCGAGAGCGAGGUCGGAGGGUUGAGGAGAGAAAUGGAGAAGAAGAUACAGGAUAAAGGGGUUGCGUUGGAGAGUGAGUUGAAGAAAUUGGAGGCAAAAAGUGAAGGGUUGGAGAGGUCGGUGGGCAAUUUGAGGAGCGUGGAGUGGUUGUCGAAGCAAGAGUUUGAAAAGGUGUAUGAGGAUUUGAAGAAGAAGGUGAAGAGCAGCGAAGAUGUCGAAUUGGGUGCGACUUUGGAUGACAUAAGGGCCUAUGCGAGGAAUGUGGUUGAGAAAGAAAUAGAGAAGCAUGCGGCGGAUGGUCUUGGGAGGGUGGAUUAUGCUUUGGCCACUGGUGGGGCUUCCAUUGUGAAGCAUUCAGAGCCAUAUUUGGUGGGGAAAGGGAGCAGUUGGUUCUCGAAGAGUACAAAAAAUGGGGUUCACGGUGAUGCUGAUAGGAUGUUGAGACCCAGUUUUGGAGAGCCUGGCCAUUGUUUUCCCUUGAAAGGGACUAGUGGGUUUGUCCAGAUUAAGCUGCGGACUAAGAUCAUUCCCGAGGCUAUCACUCUGGAACAUGUUGCAAAGAGCGUCGCUUAUGACAGAUCGAGUGCUCCCAAGGACUGCAGGAUCUCUGGGUGGCUGCGAGGAGGGGAUGAUCCAGAAGUCUAUACAGAGAUGUUUCGCCUGGCUGAAUUUACUUAUGACCUUGAGAAAAGCAAUGCCCAGACAUUCAAUACCAUGGACUCGGCACUGUCUGGCCUCAUUGACACAGUGAGGUUAGACUUCACAUCCAACCAUGGAAGCCCUUCUCAUACUUGCAUAUAUCGAUUGAGAGUGCACGGACAUGAACCAGACGUUUUGUCCAUGAUGGCCAUGCAGCAGUAGCGUUAAUGCCAUUACCAUGUUCGCGGAGCAGCAUUCUUAGGCCACUUCUGUAUUGAAUAUGAAGACUCAAUACUUUUUUCGUUUAAUUUAUAACUUGGUAGGUAGAAAUUUGCGGUAUGUUUCUAGAGUUGUUGAUAUCGCGUAUUGUCUCUUUGAUAUUUUUAGUUUGGAUUCAUGUAUUGGUAGGUGUAUGGUAUUUUCUCUGUGUUUUCCUCUCUAUGCACCAAGUAAUGAAAUCAGGCACGGGUUACAGGGUUGGCCGCUUCUUCGAACUUGCGACAAAAUUGACGAUUAGGAAGAGAGAUUGUCAUGAACGCAAAGUUUAGAAGGGCUUUGAACCAAAUUGAAAGUUCGGUGGGCAAAGAGGAACAAGGUUUGAAGUUCAAGGGGCAAUUGUAAAGUUGAAAGGGAGUGUGGAGUUGGUGGAUUAAUAUGCUUAUAGCCAUUGUAAAGACCAGAGAGCCAGUGACCAUCGAGCCUCUAUAGCCAGAUGAAGCUGAAGGCGAUGAUGCAAAAAGAUGGAGGUAGCGGGAGGCCGCGGCUUUUGGUGGUUCUGAGAAGCGCCAUGCUCCCUCCGGCCGGCUUUUGGUCGUAAAGACUUCAACAUCUUGUUUUCCAGGGACCAGGACACAGAGUGAUAUUUGUGAUUAUACUUUUUAUGGCACGUUUGAUUGGCUGGAUUAGGACUAGGAUUGGACUAUUAGCACUGAUCCCAAACUAUAUCAAACAUUGAUUUAUUUAGCAACUGGAUAAAAUGGUUGCGUUUUAUGAGCGGGCUUGUUUUAGACCAUUAAAAAUGAGAGGCCUAAAUAAGCCUUCAACUA
Molecule: non-coding RNA, 2343 nt
Organism: Malus domestica (apple)
Lineage: Eukaryota; Viridiplantae; Streptophyta; Magnoliopsida; Rosales; Rosaceae
Source: RefSeq, a predicted model, not a curated record